Molecule: ribosomal RNA, 400 nt
Filed under: uncultured bacterium
Lineage: Bacteria
Description: bacterial SSU rRNA
Rfam family: Bacterial small subunit ribosomal RNA
Source: RNAcentral
UUGGGAAUCUUGCACAAUGGGGGAAACCCUGAUGCAGCGACGCCGCGUGGAGGACGAAGGAUUUCGGUCUGUAAACUCCUUUUGCAGGGAAAGACUCAGGACGGUACCCUGCGAAUAAGCUCCGGCUAACUACGUGCCAGCAGCCGCGGUAAGACGUAGGGAGCAAGCGUUGUCCGGAUUUACUGGGCGUAAAGCGCGCGUAGGCGGUCUGUUAAGUGAGUGGUGAAAUCUCCAGGGCUCAACCCGGAAACUGCUUCUCAUACUGGCAAACUAGAGGAAUGCAGAGGUAAGUAGAAUUCCCGGUGUAACGGUGACAUGUAUUGAUAUCGGGAGGAAUACCCAAGGCGAAGGCAGCUUACUGGGCAUUAUCUGACGCUGAGGUGCGAAAGCGUGGGGAGCA